GGGCCUGCAGUCCGGGAUGAAAGAACUCAAAUUGAUUUUUACCUGGUGAACUGAGAUCAUUUGCUUCAAUUGGGGUCGAGCUGAAGUAUUUUAAAUAAUAAUGAGAAUCAUUGACCGAAGAUGAACACAAGCCUUGGAUUUAAUUAAUGUAAUAUUACAACCACUCCUCGUUUAGCAACAACCUCGGUUAGCAAUCAUUCACAAGUACAACGUUACAAAAAAUUCAUGCACAUUUACAACCAAAUUUUGUACACCUGAUAACGCACACCGGAGUGAGAGAGAUUUUCAAAGUAGAAUGUAGAAAAUACUGUAAAUAAUGUCCACUUUGUGAAGGAUAAAAGGCAUUAAGUAGAGAAGGCUGAAGUAAAGUCGGAAGUACAGUCAUGGUCACACCUAGACUACUGUGACUUUCACUUAGUGACCAUUUUGCUUAACGACCUGGAGUUUGGAAUGAAACUUGGUCUCUAUUACUUGCUGUGUGUGAAGGCCCUGUUUAGCCCCUGUUUAGGUCCUGUUUAUUCCCUGUUUAGGCCCUGUUUAGGCCCUGUUUAUUCCCUGUUUAGGCCCUGUUUAUGCCCUGUUUAGGUCCUGUUUAGGUCCUGUUUAUUCCCUGUAUAGGCCCUGUUUAUGCCCUGUUUAGGCCCUGUUUAUGCCCUGUUUAUGCCUUGUUUAGGCCCUGUUUAGGUCCUGUUUAGGCCCUGUUUAUGCCCUGUUUAGGUCCUGUUUAGGCCCUGUUUAGGCCCUGUUUAUGCCCUGUUUAGGCCUUGUUUAGGCCCUGUUUAUUCCCUGUUUAUUCCCUGUUUAGGCCCUGUUUAUUCCCUGUUUAUGCCCUGUUUAUGCCCUGUUUAGGCCCUGUUUAGACCCUGUUUAUUCCCUGUUUAUGCCCUGUUUAGGCCCUGUUUAUUCCCUGUUUAGGCCCUGUUUAUUCCCUGUUUAGGCCCUGUUUAUGCCCUGUUUAGGCCCUGUUUAUACCCUGUUUAUGCCCUGUUUAGGCCCUGUUUAUGCCCUGUUUAUUCCCUGUUUAUGCCCUGUUUAGGCCCUGUUUAUGUCUUGUUUAUUCCCUGUUUAGGCCCUGUUUAUGCCCUGUUUAGGCCCUGUUUAUGCCCUGUUUAGGCCCUGUUUAUGCCCUGUUUAUGCCCUGUUUAUGUCCUGUUUAUGCCCUGUUUAGACGGUUUGGACUGUCUCAAAGGCCGGUUCUCUGGUGCUCCAUAAAUGUGACACUCCUCAUUCCCCUGUUAUUUUAGUCAUUCCUUUCCCUAAUUGAUCGUCAGUCUGCUAGUUUGUCAUCCACUCCCACUCAGAUUUCUCAGUCAUUUCCAGGACAUGUUUGUAGCUUCUCAUAGCUUCUGUCCAGCCCUCCCCUCCUGUCUCUUAAUUCCUCCCUGUCUUAAGAAUGCCUGGCACAGACCUGAUGUUUAUUCAGCAAUUCAAACAUCACAACCAUCUCCUGUUUCUUUCCUAACACCCGUUCUGAGUGCAAACCGAUUUUAUGUUUUUAUGCAUUCCAAUAAAUUUUUUCUCAUUCUGCUUAA
Long non-coding RNA from Brienomyrus brachyistius, 1532 nucleotides. RefSeq lists it as uncharacterized. The transcript is spliced from 2 exons. The record is from RefSeq and is a predicted model, not a curated record. Lineage: Eukaryota; Metazoa; Chordata; Actinopteri; Osteoglossiformes; Mormyridae.